This 452-nucleotide ribosomal RNA is filed under the name uncultured bacterium. RNAcentral describes it as "bacterial SSU rRNA". It matches the Rfam family "Bacterial small subunit ribosomal RNA", at positions 64 to 507 of the family's 1533-position model. The record is from RNAcentral.
GAACGGUAGCACAGAGAGCUUGCUCUUGGGUGACGAGUGGCGGACGGGUGAGUAAUGUCUGGGAAACUGCCCGAUGGAGGGGGAUAACUACUGGAAACGGUAGCUAAUACCGCAUAACGUCUUCGGACCAAAGUGGGGGACCUUCGGGCCUCACACCAUCGGAUGUGCCCAGAUGGGAUUAGCUAGUAGGUGGGGUAAUGGCUCACCUAGGCGACGAUCCCUAGCUGGUCUGAGAGGAUGACCAGCCACACUGGAACUGAGACACGGUCCAGACUCCUACGGGAGGCAGCAGUGGGGAAUAUUGCACAAUGGGCGCAAGCCUGAUGCAGCCAUGCCGCGUGUAUGAAGAAGGCCUUCGGGUUGUAAAGUACUUUCAGCGGGGAGGAAGGCGAUGAGGUUAAUAAUCUUAUUGAUUGACGUUACCCGCAGAAGAAGCACCGGCUAACUCCGUG